Non-coding RNA from Sus scrofa (pig), 251 nucleotides. The record is from RefSeq and is a predicted model, not a curated record. NCBI's taxonomy places the organism in Eukaryota, Metazoa, Chordata, Mammalia, Artiodactyla, Suidae.
CCACCAGCUGCCCCACCGCAGGACACACCUUCAUUUGGCCUUCUCCACACUCAGAAACCGAGCUCUGUAUGCAGCAGAAAACAGCUCAGCUCUCUCCACAUUGCAUGGACGCAGGUUUUUAGAACAGAAAAUCAUGGACUUGGAGAACAGACUUAUGGUUGCCAAGGGGAACUUCCUACCUACUUGGAGUGGUUUGCAGAUUCAGUCCCUGGCCUCACACAGUGGAUUAAGGAUCCAGCGUUGCUGUAAGC